UUGGAUGUCGUGACAGGGAGGAGUACAGUAUACUUCCCCUCACGAAAGUAGCAGUCAUUAUGGACUACAUUGCAUAAAAUAACAAAAGAUCGCAUAAAUGUUAAUUGAUAAUAACUGAAAUGGGCCAGCCUUUUAAACUUUGAGCGCAAUAAAAAGUUGGUGGUAGCAAAAAUGAGUUUAUUAAUCCUCAACUAUCAUGUGAAACAUGGAUAGGUUAUUACUAAGG
This 226-nucleotide long non-coding RNA is filed under the name Amborella trichopoda. RNAcentral's name for it is "long non-coding RNA (ATRI_LNC003121)". Lineage: Eukaryota; Viridiplantae; Streptophyta; Magnoliopsida; Amborellales; Amborellaceae. The record is from RNAcentral.